This 498-nucleotide ribosomal RNA is filed under the name uncultured bacterium. RNAcentral's name for it is "partial 16S ribosomal RNA". It matches the Rfam family "Bacterial small subunit ribosomal RNA", at positions 30 to 523 of the family's 1533-position model. The record is from RNAcentral.
AUUGAACACUGGCGGCAUGCCUUACACAUGCAAGUCGAACGGUAACAGGUCUUCGGAUGCUGACGAGUGGCGAACGGGUGAGUAAUACAUCGGAACGUGCCUAGUAGUGGGGGAUAACUACUCGAAAGAGUGGCUAAUACCGCAUGAGAUCUACGGAUGAAAGCAGGGGAUCGCAAGACCUUGUGCUACUAGAGCGGCCGAUGGCAGAUUAGGUAGUUGGUGGGAUAAAAGCUUACCAAGCCGACGAUCUGUAGCUGGUCUGAGAGGACGAUCAGCCACACUGGGACUGAGACACGGCCCAGACUCCUACGGGAGGCAGCAGUGGGGAAUUUUGGACAAUAGGCGCAAGCCUGAUCCAGCAAUGCCGCGUGCAGGAUGAAGGCCUUCGGGUUGUAAACUGCUUUUGUACGGAACGAAAAGCCCCGGGUUAAUACCCUGGGGUCAUGACGGUACCGUAAGAAUAAGCACCGGCUAACUACGUGCCAGCCGCCGCAGUAA